Molecule: ribosomal RNA, 491 nt
Filed under: uncultured organism
Description: SSU rRNA
Rfam family: Bacterial small subunit ribosomal RNA
Source: RNAcentral
AGAGUUUGAUCCUGGCUCGAGGACGAACGCUGGCGGCGUGCUUAACACAUGCAAGUCGAACGGAACCUUCGGGUUUAGUGGCGAACGGGGUGAGUAAAGCGCAGGUAAUCUGCCGCAAAGACGGGGACAACGUUUCGAAAGGGACGCUAAUACCGGAUGUUGUGUAGGGUUCGCAUGAAUUUUACACUAAAGAUUUAUCGCUUUGCGAGGAGCCUGCGUCCGAUUAGGUAGUUGGUAGGGUAAAAGCCUACCAAGCCGACGAUCGGUAGCCGGUCUGAGAGGAUGAACGGUCACAAUGGAACUGAGACACGGUCCAUACUCCUACGGGAGGCAGCAGUGGGGAAUAUUCCACAAUGGGCGAAAGCCUGAUGGAGCGACGCCGCGUGAGUGAAGAAGGGCUUCGGCUCGUAAAGCUCUUUUCUUGAGGACGAAUGGUCUAUUAGAUAGGCAGAGACGGUACUUAGGGAAUAAGCCACGGCUAACUACGUGCC